AAGCUAGACUCAUUCAAAGUGGCAUUCUGAGUAAUCUGAGUAUUUCAACCCUUCAACCAUUGCUCAGGACAACUAAUCUGAGUAUUUCAGAACUGAUAAGUUCAUGGGUUGCGUUUGGGAUUUUGGUGUUCUGAAAGUGAAGUUCUUCGCCUCUUGCCAAGUGUCAAGGCCGGAGAUAGUCGUUCUGGAUAUUGUUUUUUCAAUCCCAUUUGUUUUUCUUUAGUUGCAUGGAAGAUUCAAAAUCUAUCUUUAGAGUUCUGAUCAUCUCAUGAACUCCGGACGGUUUGAUUUAGGCCCCCAAAAAUUCAGAUCCAGAUUUAGUAGAAGCUCAUAACCAAUCUCCAAAUGGGUGAUCAUGAAUCUCAAAGCGGAAUAUCAUCUAAAAACAUCCAUGGUCACAAGAGCAGAAAUUGCUCCAUGGUUUAAGUAAAAAAGGACUUACGGAUCUUGCACUGAUGAAUUGUAGCAUUGGCUGCAGUAUCUAAUGUGUAUUCACAAGUAUGGAAAGAAGCGAGAAAAGAUUAUAGCACAAGUUGUUUUGGGUUUCCUCAUUUGUUCCUGGAAAUUGGAUGAAAGUUUCUGUGUCAGUUUGGUUGCCUUUUAGUGAUAAUGUCUUCUCUGGAUAUGAUGUUAAUAUU
This is an RNA transcript of Fragaria vesca subsp. vesca, 638 nucleotides long. RefSeq lists it as uncharacterized. The transcript is spliced from 4 exons. The record is from RefSeq and is a predicted model, not a curated record. NCBI's taxonomy places the organism in Eukaryota, Viridiplantae, Streptophyta, Magnoliopsida, Rosales, Rosaceae.